RNAcentral lists this small RNA (72 nucleotides) under Chondromyces crocatus. Its description in RNAcentral is "Nematode sRNA ceN72-3_ceN74-2". It matches the Rfam family "Nematode sRNA ceN72-3_ceN74-2". Lineage: Bacteria; Pseudomonadati; Myxococcota; Polyangiales; Polyangiaceae. The record is from Rfam by way of RNAcentral.
CUGGUCGGGCCGGAGCUCGUGGGUUAUCAGCCCUUAACUGAACCCAUCCCACGAGCAUUGCUCGCCCGUCCU